This 253-nucleotide ribosomal RNA is filed under the name uncultured bacterium. Its description in RNAcentral is "partial 16S ribosomal RNA". It matches the Rfam family "Bacterial small subunit ribosomal RNA", at positions 524 to 776 of the family's 1533-position model. The record is from RNAcentral.
UCCGGAGGGAGCUAUCGUUGUUCGGAAUUACUGGGCGUAAAGCGCACGUAGGCGGCUUUGUAAGUUAGAGGUGAAAGCCCGGAGCUCAACUCCGGAACUGCCUUUAAGACUGCAUCGCUAGAAUCCGGGAGAGGUGAGUGGAAUUCCGAGUGUAGAGGUGAAAUUCGUAGAUAUUCGGAAGAACACCAGUGGCGAAGGCGGCUCACUGGACCGGUAUUGACGCUGAGGUGCGAAAGCGUGGGGAGAAAACAGG